GCACAAGCAGUGGAGUAUGUGGUUUAAUUCGAAGCAACGCGAAGAACCUUACCAGGUCUUGACAUCCGAUGCAUAGUGCAGAGAUGCAUGAAGUCCUUCGGGACAUCGAGACAGGUGGUGCAUGGUUGUCGUCAGCUCGUGUCGUGAGAUGUUGGGUUAAGUCCCGCAACGAGCGCAACCCUUAUUGCCAGUUACUACGCAAGAGGACUCUGGCGAGACUGCCGUUGUAAAA
Molecule: ribosomal RNA, 232 nt
Filed under: uncultured bacterium
Lineage: Bacteria
Description: partial 16S ribosomal RNA
Rfam family: Bacterial small subunit ribosomal RNA
Source: RNAcentral